ACCAAAUAUGUGAUUUUUAUCGUUUGGUUUACCCACUGCUCAUGUGCAAAGCCAGAUUUUUCAUUGCUUUUAUAUUUUUAAGUUAUUGUUUUUAAAGCUAUAUGAUCCUCUGUGGAUCUCACAUACUCAGCACUUAACAUUUGAUUAAAUGUUCAGGUAACAAUUGUACUGAACUUGUGUGUCGAUGAUAGCGUCACCUAACAAACAGUUUAGAGCCUUAUGCUCUUAGAAAUGUUCUGAAGGAGACAUAAUCAUACUGUUUUCUCAAAUAAUGGGUUUUAGAAUAUUAUUUUAAUCAUCUCUUGGAUUUACAGUUAUAACUGUAUGUAAAGCACUUGAAGCAAAUGUAAUUUAAGAUAAAACCAAGAAGUCUGAAAGUUUCAUUUCCAGUCAAGUGACUUGGUUGUCAGUCAGCCUCCGCGUCCUCGGCUUCUGCAGAUCUUGACUCUCUGCGUUGUUUGAGGUACGUGGCUUUUGGAGAUCUCACAUGAAAAUUGUUAUUAAUUGCAUAAUUCAUUCCCAAUUUAUGUGUGUUGGGGAGAAUUUUUUUAAAGUGGCUGUUAAUUGUGUUGUAUAUCUAAUUUUGCAAAGCAGGUAUGUGAGACAUCUUGUAAUUUCUGAACUGUUUUGUUUGUGUGUUUUUCAAAGAUACCAUGAUCAUUCAUCAUGUUUUGGAGACUGUUUAAAAUUUGUUUUCCUAAAUUCAUGUAGAAAUGAUUUGAGGAUAUCAACAUUUUGUAUUAAACAUGUUUUCAAUUCAUUAAAUUGUAAUUUUUUUC
This 779-nucleotide long non-coding RNA is filed under the name Mus musculus (house mouse). Its description in RNAcentral is "long non-coding RNA chr16:56189225-56190004". Lineage: Eukaryota; Metazoa; Chordata; Mammalia; Rodentia; Muridae. The record is from RNAcentral.